RNAcentral lists this ribosomal RNA (388 nucleotides) under Halopseudomonas sabulinigri. Its description in RNAcentral is "bacterial SSU rRNA". It matches the Rfam family "Bacterial small subunit ribosomal RNA", at positions 88 to 475 of the family's 1533-position model. The record is from RNAcentral. Lineage: Bacteria; Pseudomonadati; Pseudomonadota; Gammaproteobacteria; Pseudomonadales; Pseudomonadaceae.
AGGAUGAGCGGCGGACGGGUGAGUAACACGUAAAGAACCUGCCCUCAGGUCUGGGAUAACCACGAGAAAUCGGGGCUAAUACCGGAUGGGUCAUCGGACCGCAUGGUCCGAGGAUGAAAGGCGCUCCGGCGUCGCCUGGGGAUGGCUUUGCGGUGCAUUAGCUAGUUGGUGGGGUAAUGGCCCACCAAGGCGACGAUGCAUAGCCGACCUGAGAGGGUGAUCGGCCACACUGGGACUGAGACACGGCCCAGACUCCUACGGGAGGCAGCAGUAGGGAAUCUUCCACAAUGGACGAAAGUCUGAUGGAGCAACGCCGCGUGAACGAUGAAGGCCUUCGGGUCGUAAAGUUCUGUUGUAAGGGAAGAACAAGUGCCGCAGGCAAUGGCGG